Molecule: ribosomal RNA, 513 nt
Filed under: Proteus mirabilis
Lineage: Bacteria; Pseudomonadati; Pseudomonadota; Gammaproteobacteria; Enterobacterales; Morganellaceae
Also listed under: 1 other name
Description: partial 23S ribosomal RNA
Rfam family: Bacterial large subunit ribosomal RNA
Source: RNAcentral
AGUUGCAGGGUAUAGACCCGAAACCCGGUGAUCUAUCCAUGGGCAGGUUGAAGGUUGGGUAACACUAACUGGAGGACCGAACCGACUAAUGUUGAAAAAUUAGCGGAUGACUUGUGGAUGGGGGUGAAAGGCCAAUCAAACCGGGAGAUAGCUGGUUCUCCCCGAAAGCUAUUUAGGUAGCGCCUCGUGAACUCAUCUUCGGGGGUAGAGCACUGUUUCGACUAGGGGGUCAUCCCGACUUACCAACUCGAUGCAAACUGCGAAUACCGAAGAAUGUUAUCACGGGAGACACACGGCGGGUGCUAACGUCCGUCGUGAAGAGGGAAACAACCCAGACCGCCAGCUAAGGUCCCAAAGUCAUGGUUAAGUGGGAAACGAAGUGGGAAGGCUCAGACAGCCAGGAUGUUGGCUUAGAAGCAGCCAUCAUUUAAAGAAAGCGUAAUAGCUCACUGGUCGAGUCGGCCCGCGCGGAAGAUGUAACGGGGCUAAACCAUGCACCGAAGCUGCGGCAGC